UACGAAGGGGGCUAGCGUUGCUCGGAAUUACUGGGCGUAAAGCGCACGUAGGCGGCUUGUUAAGUCAGGGGUGAAAUCCUGGAGCUCAACUCCAGAACUGCCUUUGAUACUGGCGAGCUUGAGUUCGGGAGAGGUGAGUGGAACUGCGAGUGUAGAGGUGAAAUUCGUAGAUAUUCGCAAGAACACCAGUGGCGAAGGCGGCUCACUGGCCCGAUACCGACGCUGAGGUGCGAAAGCGUGGGGAGCAAACAGGG
This 254-nucleotide ribosomal RNA is filed under the name uncultured bacterium. RNAcentral's name for it is "partial 16S ribosomal RNA". It matches the Rfam family "Bacterial small subunit ribosomal RNA", at positions 524 to 777 of the family's 1533-position model. The record is from RNAcentral.